RNAcentral lists this ribosomal RNA (241 nucleotides) under uncultured Actinomycetales bacterium. RNAcentral's name for it is "partial 16S ribosomal RNA". It matches the Rfam family "Bacterial small subunit ribosomal RNA", at positions 89 to 334 of the family's 1533-position model. Lineage: Bacteria; Bacillati; Actinomycetota; Actinomycetes; Actinomycetales. The record is from RNAcentral.
GCUCGAGUGGCAAACGGGUGAGUAACACGUGGGUGAUCUGCCCUGCACUUCGGGAUAAGCUUGGGAAACUGGGUCUAAUACCGGAUAGGAGCCAUCUUUAGUGUGGUGGUUGGAAAGUUUUUCGGUGUAGGAUGAGCUCGCGGCCUAUCAGCUUGUUGGUGGGGUAAUGGCCUACCAAGGCGGCGACGGGUAGCCGGCCUGAGAGGGUGUACGGCCACAUUGGGACUGAGAUACGGCCCAG